GCCCGCCUAGCUCAAUCGGAUAGAGCGUCAGACUCUUAAUCUGAAGUGGGUUCGACCCCCACGGUGGGCU
RNAcentral lists this transfer RNA (70 nucleotides) under Phlebiopsis gigantea 11061_1 CR5-6. RNAcentral's name for it is "tRNA-Lys (CTT) (tRNA-Lys-CTT-2-1)". It matches the Rfam family "tRNA". Rfam says of the family: Transfer RNA (tRNA) molecules are approximately 80 nucleotides in length. The record is from RNAcentral. Lineage: Eukaryota; Fungi; Basidiomycota; Agaricomycetes; Polyporales; Phanerochaetaceae.